RNAcentral lists this ribosomal RNA (450 nucleotides) under uncultured Entrophospora. RNAcentral's name for it is "SSU rRNA". It matches the Rfam family "Eukaryotic small subunit ribosomal RNA", at positions 569 to 1019 of the family's 1831-position model. Lineage: Eukaryota; Fungi; Glomeromycota; Glomeromycetes; Entrophosporales; Entrophosporaceae. The record is from RNAcentral.
AGCAGCCGCGGUAAUUCCAGCUCCAAUAGCGUAUAUUAAAGUUGUUGCAGUUAAAAAGCUCGUAGUUGAAUUUCGGGAUCGGCAUGUUGGUCGUGCCUUACGGGGUAUGAACUGACAUCGUCGAUUUCUACCUUCUGGAGAAUCGCGGUGCCCUUAAUUGGGUGUCGUGUGGAUCCAGGACCUUUACCUUGAAAAAUUAGAGUGUUUAAAGCAGGCAUUUUGCUCGAAUACAUUAGCAUGGAAUAAUAAAAUAGGACGGUUUGGUCCUAUUUUGUUGGUUUCUAGGAUCACCGUAAUGAUUAAUAGGGAUAGUUGGGGGCAUUAGUAUUCAAUUGUCAGAGGUGAAAUUCUUGGAUUUAUUGAAGACUAACUACUGCGAAAGCAUUUGCCAAGGAUGUUUUCAUUAAUCAAGAACGAAAGUUAGGGGAUCGAAGACGAUCAGAUACCGUC